RNAcentral lists this ribosomal RNA (495 nucleotides) under uncultured Desulfobulbus sp. Its description in RNAcentral is "bacterial SSU rRNA". It matches the Rfam family "Bacterial small subunit ribosomal RNA", at positions 909 to 1382 of the family's 1533-position model. The record is from RNAcentral. Lineage: Bacteria; Pseudomonadati; Thermodesulfobacteriota; Desulfobulbia; Desulfobulbales; Desulfobulbaceae.
GCUCAAGAACUACGAAAGAUUGACGGGGCCGCACAAGCGGUGGAGUAUGUGGUUUAAUUCGAUGCAACGCGAAGAACCUUACCUGGUCUUGACAUCCCGGAGACCCUUAGGAAACUAGGGGGUGCUUCCAUCUGGAAGAAUCUGGAGACAGGUGCUGCAUGGCUGUCGUCAGCUCGUGUCGUGAGAUGUUGGGUUAAGUCCCGCAACGAGCGCAACCCUUGCCUUUAGUUGCCAGCAGUUCGGCUGGGCACUCUAAAGGGACUGCCGGUGUUAAACCGGAGGAAGGUGGGGAUGACGUCAAGUCCUCAUGGCCUUUAUGACCAGGGCUACACACGUACUACAAUGGCCGAUACAAAGGGCAGCGACACUGCGAGGUGAAGCCAAUCCCGUAAAAUCGGUCUCAGUCCGGAUUGGAGUCUGCAACUCGACUCCAUGAAGUUGGAAUCGCUAGUAAUCGUGGAUCAGCAUGCCACGGUGAAUACGUUCCCGGGCCUU